AGAGUUUGAUCAUGGCUCAGGAUGAACGCUGGCGGCGUGCCUAAUACAUGCAAGUCGAGCGAAUGGAUUAAGAGCUUGCUCUUAUGAAGUUAGCGGCGGACGGGUGAGUAACACGUGGGUAACCUGCCCAUAAGACUGGGAUAACUCCGGGAAACCGGGGCUAAUACCGGAUAAUAUUUUGAACUGCAUGGUUCGAAAUUGAAAGGCGGCUUCGGCUGUCACUUAUGGAUGGACCCGCGUCGCAUUAGCUAGUUGGUGAGGUAACGGCUCACCAAGGCAACGAUGCGUAGCCGACCUGAGAGGGUGAUCGGCCACACUGGGACUGAGACACGGCCCAGACUCCUACGGGAGGCAGCAGUAGGGAAUCUUCCGCAAUGGACGAAAGUCUGACGGAGCAACGCCGCGUGAGUGAUGAAGGCUUUCGGGUCGUAAAACUCUGUUGUUAGGGAAGAACAAGUGCUAGUUGAAUAAGCUGGCACCUUGACGGUACCUAACCAGAAAGCCACGGCUAACUACGUGCCAGCAGCCGCGGUAAUACGUAGGUGGCAAGCGUUAUCCGGAAUUAUUGGGCGUAAAGCGCGCGCAGGUGGUUUCUUAAGUCUGAUGUGAAAGCCCACGGCUCAACCGUGGAGGGUCAUUGGAAACUGGGAGACUUGAGUGCAGAAGAGGAAAGUGGAAUUCCAUGUGUAGCGGUGAAAUGCGUAGAGAUAUGGAGGAACACCAGUGGCGAAGGCGACUUUCUGGUCUGUAACUGACACUGAGGCGCGAAAGCGUGGGGAGCAAACAGGAUUAGAUACCCUAGUAGUCC
Molecule: ribosomal RNA, 808 nt
Filed under: uncultured bacterium
Lineage: Bacteria
Description: bacterial SSU rRNA
Rfam family: Bacterial small subunit ribosomal RNA
Source: RNAcentral